This 301-nucleotide ribosomal RNA is filed under the name uncultured bacterium. RNAcentral describes it as "partial 16S ribosomal RNA". It matches the Rfam family "Bacterial small subunit ribosomal RNA", at positions 512 to 810 of the family's 1533-position model. The record is from RNAcentral.
CAGCCGCGGUAAUACGUAGGUGGCAAGCGUUGUCCGGAAUUAUUGGGCGUAAAGGGCUCGCAGGCGGUUUCUUAAGUCUGAUGUGAAAGCCCCCGGCUCAACCGGGGAGGGUCAUUGGAAACUGGGAAACUUGAGUGCAGAAGAGGAGAGUGGAAUUCCACGUGUAGCGGUGAAAUGCGUAGAGAUGUGGAGGAACACCAGUGGCGAAGGCGACUCUCUGGUCCGUAACUGACGCUGAGGAGCGAAAGCGUGGGGAGCGAACAGGAUUAGAUACCCCGGUAGUCCCUGUCUCUUAUACACA